GCUAGGAACAUCAUGUAUGUAAAUUACAAAAGAUAACACUCUAUCAGCCAAUUGAUCCCUAAAGAGGUGGACAACUCGACCAGUGUCCCAUCUCCUUUCCUUAGGAAGGAAGAGGUUGUAGACUUGCAUGUUUGCUCCAGUCUUCAUGUUGAUCAUUGUAGGCCACCGUCUUAGAGGAUGGUUUGACAACCAAGAGUCCCCCAUCAUAUUUAUAGAUUGUCCAACCUUAAUCAAUCAUGUUAUGUUGACUAUCACCAUUGAGGCAUGGGUAUAGAUCUCUUUCCAUAUAAAGGAGCUACUAUAGCUAGAUUGGAUUUCCUCUCCUACGGACUACGACCCAUACUUAGCCCUCAUCGUAAAGCUCCAAUUGCUACUC
This 376-nucleotide long non-coding RNA is filed under the name Elaeis guineensis (African oil palm). Its description in RNAcentral is "long non-coding RNA (EGUI_LNC022914)". The record is from RNAcentral. Lineage: Eukaryota; Viridiplantae; Streptophyta; Magnoliopsida; Arecales; Arecaceae.